Molecule: ribosomal RNA, 492 nt
Filed under: uncultured bacterium
Lineage: Bacteria
Description: partial 16S ribosomal RNA
Rfam family: Bacterial small subunit ribosomal RNA
Source: RNAcentral
AGUGAACGCUGGCGGUAGGCCUAACACAUGCAAGUCGAACGGCAGCACAGUAAGAGCUUGCUCUUGCGGGUGGCGAGUGGCGGACGGGUGAGGAAUACAGCGGAAUCUACUUUUUCGUGGGGGAUAACGUAGGGAAACUUACGCUAAUACCGCAUACGACCUACGGGUGAAAGCAGGGGAUCUUCGGACCUUGCGCGAUUGAAUGAGCCGAUGUCGGAUUAGCUAGUUGGCGGGGUAAAGGCCCACCAAGGCGACGAUCCGUAGCUGGUCUGAGAGGAUGAUCAGCCACACUGGAACCGAGACACGGUCCAGACUCCUACGGGAGGCAGCAGUGGGGAAUAUUGGACAACGGGCGAAAGCCUGAUCCAGCCAUACCGCGUGGGUGAAGAAGGCCUUCGGGUUGUAAAGCCCUUUUGUUGGGAAAGAAAAGCAGCAGGUUAAUACCUCGCUGUUCUGACGGUACCCAAAGAAUAAGCACCGGCUAACUUCGUG